This 104-nucleotide small nuclear RNA is filed under the name Carlito syrichta (Philippine tarsier). The record is from RNAcentral. Lineage: Eukaryota; Metazoa; Chordata; Mammalia; Primates; Tarsiidae.
GUGCUCGCUUCAGCAGCACAUAUACUAAAAUUGGAACGAUACAGAGAUUAGUAUGGCCCCUGUGCAAGGAUGACACACAAAUUUGUAAUGUGUUCCCUAUUUUU